AACGAACGCUGGCGGCAGGCCUAACACAUGCAAGUCGAGCGCCCAGCAAUGGGAGCGGCAGACGGGUGAGUAACGCGUGGGAACCUUCCUGAUAGUACGGAAUAGCCCAGGGAAACUUGGAGUAAUACCGUAUACGCCCGUAAGGGGAAAGAUUUAUCGCUAUCAGAUGGGCCCGCGUAGGAUUAGCUAGUUGGUGAGGUAAUGGCUCACCAAGGCGACGAUCCUUAGCUGGUUUGAGAGAAUGACCAGCCACACUGGGACUGAGACACGGCCCAGACUCCUACGGGAGGCAGCAGUGGGGAAUCUUGGACAAUGGGCGCAAGCCUGAUCCAGCCAUGCCGCGUGAGUGACGAAGGUCUUCGGAUUGUAAAGCUCUUUUGCCAGGGACGAUAAUGACGGUACCUGGAGAAUAAGCCCGGCUAACUUCGUGCCAGCAGCCGCGGUAAGAGUGUGUGUA
RNAcentral lists this ribosomal RNA (457 nucleotides) under uncultured bacterium. Its description in RNAcentral is "bacterial SSU rRNA". It matches the Rfam family "Bacterial small subunit ribosomal RNA", at positions 29 to 536 of the family's 1533-position model. The record is from RNAcentral.